GUAAAAUUUCAUUUUUAUAUAGUUAAAUAUUUUGUAUAUAGUAGUAUAGUAAAGAAAAUUUCUUUGAUUUAAAAAAAAAUUAAUUUUGCUUUGAAAUAUUUUAAAUAUAGUAUUUUUAAUAACUAGGCUUCAUACCUUUUGUAUUAGUGGCUAUAGAAUUUCAUUUUGAUAAAAGAUUCUCGAAAAAUAAAGAUUUACUUUUAACGAAAAAUAUAAUAUCAUUUAUUUAAUGAAGUUGAAAGUGGAGAAGAAAUUUCUUUCGGUUUAUUGUAUCUAGUUACUUUAAGCUAAACAUAGUUUAGUCAAGUGGCAGUUAUUUUAAAAUAUUUUUAAGAUAAUAGUGUUUGAAAAAAAUCUAGGGGGAUAAGCUUUUAGAUAAUUUGACUAUUACAUAAGAGAUUUAUUUGUUGUUAUUACUUAUAUGUUUGAAUAUGGUUAAUAAGUAGUUUGUUAUUAUUACCUAAUUGAGAUAGUUUAUUUUUUUUUUAUUAAUUUUGAUAAAAGUUAAGGGUUGAGUAAAAUAAAAAUUAAAAUAAUUAGAGCAUGAGUAGAAGGUUGAUAAAUGACUUCAGGUCUUAAAAAAAAAUAUUUUUAUAAAUUCGGCAAAAUAAAAUAUCGAAUGUUUAUCAAAAACAUUUCUAUUAAUUUAUUUAUAUAGUAAAGCCUGCCCACUGGAAUUUCUAAAGGGCCGCGGUAUUCUGACCGUGCAAAGGUAGCAUAAUCAUUAGUCUCUUAAUUAGGGGAUAGGAUAAAUGGCUAAACGAUUUUUUUCUUUAUUAAAAUUUAUAUAUUAAAAUUAAAUUUUCAGUAAAAAUGCUUAAAUAUAACUAAUAGACGAUAAGACCCUAUAGAUCUUUAUUUUGCUUUAAUUAUUAAGUCAAUUGGGGGGUUGAUUUAAUAAUUAAAGUAAAAUUUUAUUGGGGCAAUAAUAGAAUAAACAAAAAUUCUUUCUUCUAUUUGUGAAGGUAAAUAGUUCAACUUUAUUUAGAAAAAUAAAAAGUUACCUUAGGGAUAACAGCGUUAUAUAUUUGGAGAGUACUUAUCGAUAAAUUAUCUUGCGACCUCGAUGUUGAAUUAAAGUUUUCUUAGUGAGCAGAAAUUCUAAUACAAUAGUCUGUUCGACUAUUAAAGAUUUACAUGAUUUGAGUUCAAACCGGCGUAAGCCAGGUUGGUUUCUAUCUUUAGUAUUAUAAUAAAAAAUCUAGUACGAAAGGAUUUAUUUUUUAAAAAAUUUUU
This 1236-nucleotide ribosomal RNA is filed under the name Lipothrix lubbocki. RNAcentral describes it as "16S ribosomal RNA". The stretch from base 828 to 1185 matches the Rfam family "Archaeal large subunit ribosomal RNA", at positions 2150 to 2716 of the family's 2987-position model. The record is from RNAcentral. Lineage: Eukaryota; Metazoa; Arthropoda; Collembola; Symphypleona; Sminthuridae.